GUCUGGGGUGCCACUUGGCUGAGAUUAGACCCAUUGAACCUGUCUAGAUAAUGCUAGCGAAGGAAGCGCGUUU
RNAcentral lists this non-coding RNA (73 nucleotides) under Limosilactobacillus vaginalis. The record is from RNAcentral. Lineage: Bacteria; Bacillati; Bacillota; Bacilli; Lactobacillales; Lactobacillaceae.